CUCCGCCGGGCUAUUGCACAUCCCAAUGGGUUGGUCAUUCAUACAGAUGCCUGCAAAGGUUUAGAAGUAGUCGUGGACAAUGUGCUCCCUGGAGUAGAGCAUAGGGAAUGCAUGCGUCACCUUGCUGCAAAUUUCAUGAAGAAAUUCAAAGGAAAGGUGUAUACCGACAAUUUAUGGCCAGCAUCUUUGACAUGCAGUGUGAAGAAGCACAACUACCACUUGAGGCAGUUAUACAUGAAUCCCAAAGUGAAAGAAUACUUGGAAACACACCACUCCAAGUUAUGGUCCAGAAGCCAAUUCAGUGAAGUGAGCAAAGUUGACUAUGUGCACAAUAAUCUAGCAGAGUCUUUCAACUCAACAAUCCGGAAA
RNAcentral lists this ribosomal RNA (369 nucleotides) under Triticum aestivum (bread wheat). RNAcentral's name for it is "partial small subunit ribosomal RNA". Lineage: Eukaryota; Viridiplantae; Streptophyta; Magnoliopsida; Poales; Poaceae. The record is from RNAcentral.